GAACCGUGCGAACGUUGUUCGGAAUCACUGGGCUUAAAGGGCGCGUAGGCGGCUUGCCAAGUCAGGGGGUGAAAUCUUUCGGCUCAACCGGAAAAGUGCCUUUGAUACUGGCAGGCUUGAGGGAGGUAGGGGCAUGUGGAACUGGUGGUGGAGCGGUGAAAUGCGUUGAUAUCACUAGGAACGCCGGUGGCGAAAGCGACGUGCUGGCCCUCUUCUGACGCUGAGGCGCGAAAGCCAGGGUAGCGAACGGGAUUAGAUACCCCGGUAGUCCUGGCCCUAAACGAUGGGUACUAGGUAGUGGACUUAACAUGGGUUCACUGCCGAAGCAAAAGUGUUAAGUACCCCGCCUGGGGAGUAUGGUCGCAAAGGCUG
This 372-nucleotide ribosomal RNA is filed under the name uncultured organism. RNAcentral describes it as "partial 16S ribosomal RNA". It matches the Rfam family "Bacterial small subunit ribosomal RNA", at positions 527 to 896 of the family's 1533-position model. The record is from RNAcentral.